AAUUUAAACGCACGAGGUGAACUUUUCUAUCCUACAUACUAAUGUGGAUGAAAAUAUAAACUUAUGUUUUGUUAUUUGUGAAAAUGAUGUUGUCUUGCCAUAAAUGAUUUGUUUUAUGCCUAUCUGUUUGGUUGGAACGUAAGAAUCGAAUUCGGGUUCGAGUGAGGGUGGUGUCCCUACUCGGGCUAGUGUACACAGGUGGCCACCUCCCCGGCUGGAGAAAAAGGUAGGUGACCGUGGGAGAGCACCAUCUCCACGGCACUUGGUGUUCAGAUAUGGCAAAAGAAAGAAAGAACUUAAACUGAUCAGUCGAACUUUAGCUCA
This is a non-coding RNA of Salvia hispanica, 324 nucleotides long. Lineage: Eukaryota; Viridiplantae; Streptophyta; Magnoliopsida; Lamiales; Lamiaceae. The record is from RefSeq and is a predicted model, not a curated record.